Molecule: long non-coding RNA, 307 nt
Organism: Equus quagga
Lineage: Eukaryota; Metazoa; Chordata; Mammalia; Perissodactyla; Equidae
Exons: 3
Source: RefSeq, a predicted model, not a curated record
CUCUAGCUGCACUCCGCAGCAUGGCUUAAUUGGGUCCUUGGAUGGCCCCACCAUGACUCCCCAGGUGAUAAGAUGCGUCCUGUGUACCUCCUCGUACCAUUGCUGUUCUGGGCGCUGUGUUUACAAUGACGAACAAGACAGACUGGGCCCCGGGACACAAAAAGCUUACAAUCUGGAGGAAGGCUGACCAACAGAAAUAUAAUACACCUGGGAAUCCUGAUAAUGGAAAAUGUACCACCCAGAAAUAUUUCCUGAGGCCUGAGCAUACUCACAAAUAAUAGAAUGAGCCAUGGAACUGCUAUUUAAG